Molecule: unclassified non-coding RNA, 317 nt
Filed under: Hevea brasiliensis (rubber tree)
Lineage: Eukaryota; Viridiplantae; Streptophyta; Magnoliopsida; Malpighiales; Euphorbiaceae
Source: RNAcentral
UUUUUAAGAAGAAAAGACAAACAUUUCUAUUUCGUGGCGUUUCCCUUGUUAAUGUUGUUGUAGGUUAGGUUGCAUGACGGUAUUUUUUGUCUUAUAGGUUUUUAUGUGUAGAAACUUCACAAAGCCACUGUUCACUAUAAGCAUUACCCUUUAGACAUGUUCACAAUUGUCGCAGGAAGCUACUAUUUGGCAUGGUUGUAAACUUGUUUGGGGGUCAGGGGCAGUACCAAGUUAAAGUGGGGACAAGUUCUCCCAUUCAAACUUGGAAAUUUUGUAGUCAUGUAAAUAGUAUAUUUACAUUUUUAUUUAUGCCGCCG